UACGUAGGGGGCAAGCGUUGUCCGGAAUUAUUGGGCGUAAAGAGCGUGUAGGCGGUCCGGUAAGUCCGUUGUGAAAGUCAAGGGCUCAACCCUUGAAUGCCGGCGGAUACUGUCGGGCUAGAGUCCGGAAGAGGCGAGUGGAAUUCCCGGUGUAGCGGUGAAAUGCGCAGAUAUCGGGAGGAACACCUAUGGCGAAGGCAGCUCGCUGGGACGGCACUGACGCUGAGACGCGAAAGCGUGGGGAGCAAACAGG
RNAcentral lists this ribosomal RNA (253 nucleotides) under uncultured bacterium. RNAcentral describes it as "partial 16S ribosomal RNA". It matches the Rfam family "Bacterial small subunit ribosomal RNA", at positions 524 to 776 of the family's 1533-position model. The record is from RNAcentral.